GAUGAACGCUGGCGGCGUGCCUAAUACAUGCAAGUCGAGCGAACAGACGAGGAGCUUGCUCCUCUGACGUUAGCGGCGGACGGGUGAGUAACACGUGGAUAACCUACCUAUAAGACUGGGAUAACUUCGGGAAACCGGAGCUAAUACCGGAUAAUAUAUUGAACCGCAUGGUUCAAUAAUGAAAGACAGUUUUGCUGUUACUUAUAGAUGGAUCCGCGCCGCAUUAGCUAGUUGGUAAGGUAACGGCUUACCAAGGCGACGAUGCGUAGCCGACCUGAGAGGGUGAUCGGCCACACUGGAACUGAGACACGGUCCAGACUCCUACGGGAGGCAGCAGUAGGGAAUCUUCCGCAAUGGGCGAAGUCCUGACGGAGCAACGCCGCGUGAGUGAUGAAGGUCUUCGGAUCGUAAAACUCUGUUAUUAGGGAAGAACAAAUGUGUAAGUAACUAUGCACGUCUUGACGGUACCUAAUCAGAAAGCCACGGCUAACUACGUG
RNAcentral lists this ribosomal RNA (497 nucleotides) under uncultured bacterium. RNAcentral describes it as "partial 16S ribosomal RNA". It matches the Rfam family "Bacterial small subunit ribosomal RNA", at positions 28 to 507 of the family's 1533-position model. The record is from RNAcentral.